Taeniopygia guttata (zebra finch) is the source of this 5150-nucleotide long non-coding RNA. RefSeq lists it as uncharacterized. NCBI's taxonomy places the organism in Eukaryota, Metazoa, Chordata, Aves, Passeriformes, Estrildidae. The record is from RefSeq and is a predicted model, not a curated record.
UUAUACCCUCCAGUGAGCAACACCUGAUCCAGAAAUCAGGCUCUAGCAAUGUACAGUGCAGAGAAAGCAUGCUUGAAUGAAUGCCUAGGACCUGGCUGAUGCAUACCUCACAGCUAAUCUGGUUACGCGGGGUUUAUUUCACAGUCGGAAGUUCUCGCGCUGGCGGAGAGUCCUGCUGGGGUUUUCUGAGCACACGGCAGAAUUAAUGAAUGAGCGAAUGCAGCUUGCCAGCCCAGAUUUAAAUUGCUUACUAGAUCAAAAUCUGUUCAUUUUCUCUGUCUUUAUUUCCAGCCUCUCUGUCUUUUAUUUAUUAAUUUAUUUGAGGAAACAGAUAAAGAGCACAGAAUGUGCCUGCGGACACCAUCAAAGCAGCAAAUGCAGAUAAAGGGCUGUUUUCCAGGCUGGCCUGAGCCCUGGCACCAGGCUUUGAGCCACGGUCCAGGGCAGGGAGGUCCCUGGCAGGGGCUGGUUGGUGGCUGGUGCUGUUGAUGUAAAGCCCCCAGCCUUUACAUCCCUGCUGCCCUGAGCCUCUCACUGGGCCCCAGCCACCCUUUUCCACAGCCCCUGGGAAGAGGACAGCAUUGAAGCAGUGAAGCCCUGCUUUGAAAAAGCAACACAUAAACCCGGGCUGCUUUGCAGGAAGGGUCACGUUUUUUCUAUCUUUCAGAUCCACGCUGCCUUUGGUAUUAGCCAGUUGUCGGGCUUUAAUGGGGACUCGCUAACAGGAUAUCUGGAAUAUUUGGAUUUAUUUGGCCACUGGGCAGACCUCCAGCCUGCCGUUUUGACUGCGGCGUUCGUAUUUUAAUAGGAGUUUUAAGAAGGCUUAGCUAGGGGUAUUUAAGGUAGUCCCUGAAUUUCAUGCAGACUUUUCAGCUCCGACGGAAAACACCGCGCCAAGGAGAUGCGGCGGCAGUUUUUACGAAGCAGAGGGAUCUAUAAAGAUGCCACUGUCACUGCCCUCCCGAAGACCCUUUCGGAACAGCGAAUCUCCCCUCGCACCGCGGCGGCUCCUCUCGCAUGCCCGAGUCCGGAGCCCUUAACUCCGCGCCCAGCCGCGCUGCGCAGGGCCGGGAUGCAGCAGCGCUCCGCGGCAGGAGCGGGGCUCCGGGAAGGGAGGGAUGGAUGCUCGCCCCCAUCGCUCCCUCCCCAGCCCCUGCUUCGCCGGGCCGGGCAUCUCCCUGCGAGCCCCGGCGCUGGAUGUGCUGCAGGGCCGGCGUUUGGCUGCUCCGAGCUCCCAGAGCCUGAGGCGCCUCCCCGGACUGCGCUCUCGGAGCCAAGGGGAAAGGAGACAAAUGUCGCUCAUUCAAGGUGAAGGGCAGUGCUGGCAUGAUGGAAAAGCAGCCUGUGCUCUCUGCCAAAGACUGGAGACCUUCCUGAAGAUUCACUGCUCUCCGGUUUUCUUUAUGCUCUUAUUUUAGAGCUUAUGGAAAGAAGAGGCUGAUAAUCAAGAGAGAGAUUCUGCCAAUAUAUCCAGGUAUCCUGAGCUGCACUGCUGCUGCUCUUCCUCACUUUCCUCUCUCCCUGUGCUGCCAACACAGACUGAGCAGGGAUGGAUUGCUCUGCUGCCUGGUGCAGUGCAGUCGUGCAGGCAUCUGCUACUGCAAUAUUGACCAGGUCUGCUUUCCUCAGCUAGAGACUGCACUGAGAAUUACCUCCAGGUCUCCAGAGAUGCAAACCCAGUGUGCAAAGCACUCUGCCUGCCGCUGAUUUAACCUGCCCGUUUGGAUCCCAGCCCCUGAGGAUGAUGAGGCACUUUUCCUCCACACCAUCCCAAAAGGAGCUGAAGAACUUCAGAAAUGAAAAUUUGCUUUGAAGGUGUCCCUGUGGUCACCUCACUUCUCUGGGAGGGAGGCAGUUUGGCAACUGAAAACCAAACUGGGGAGCAGAGCCAAGCUCCCCAAAAAUAGUCUGGAAGAAACUAAAGCAAGGAGGAAGAUUUAAAAAGGCUCCUCAGAGCCCAGCACAUCAGUUGUUCUGCUGGAGGUUUUUUCAAGUCUCCCCUGUUGGUGUGAGGCCCUAUACAGCCAAAAAACUGCAAGCAGCUGCCCUCCUUUCUCUCCUGCUUCUCCCCACGGGGCAGGUGGAGGGGCACACACCGUGAAGAAGGCAAGCUCAAGGCCUCACCAUAAUCUUGAGCUGCUCUGCCCAGUGUGCCCACACCCACACACCUCUUCAACAGCAACCACCUACCCCAGAGAAGGUGUGAUCUCAACACAUUGCAUGGAUCCAUGCAGAAGGAUGGGAACACGAGGGUGAAUAUCAAGGCUUGAGAAUAUAUCAAGUUUGAGUAAAGGCUUGCCUGCGUGAUGGAAUGUUCAUGGAGUGGCACACUGAUGACGGAGGAAAGAUGCAAAAGGCAGCCCACCAUAACUUUGUGCUACCAAGCAUCCCUUGAAAUGCUAAUUAAAACGAGUGGAGGGGGAGGAGCCUGCUAGCAGGAUCACAGCCUUGCUUGGAUUGAGUAACAAAUGUGUAGUAGGCAUCCGUGUUUUCCUCUACAUGUGUCUUCCAAGCUGAGUUGGCUGGAAAUGUUGCAGUUUUGUGAAACCCACACAGAGUAGCAUGCAAACACAGACUAGAUAGAGAGGCAAGGUCUAGUCAUGAAGCUGGAAUAGAAAAAGCCACGACAGUCUUCGGCAAAUAAAUAAGUAACUGCCCGAAAUGAGGGCUAAUUAACUUGCAAUAAACCAACUUAACCACUUAGGGGCAGCGUUAACACAGAGUUAACAUGCAAAACAAACCUGUACUUUCUCACCUGGUUAAUUUAACGUGCUCCGUGAAUAUUCAUAGUGUGUGGAAUCCUGCUACAUCAACACAGCAAACGGUGCGGUCUGUCAAAACCGAACGCGUGGCAAGAGGAGUAACUCAGUGGCGGCUCGCACGGCGCUGACUUUGAUCAGGUCCUGCUCCUAAACACAUUCAGAGAGGAGGCAGGACUCUGCUGCUUUCCCUCCCUCGGGGUCACAGAGUGUGCUCUGUACAAAGAUAAAAACCCAAAAAAAAAAAAAAAAAAAAAAGAGACAGAAAAGAGCUUCACUUAAAAUAAACAUUAAAAAAUCAAACAGAAAAAAAAAGGUGUCUUUGAGAAAUGCUGCUCUUGCAUUCAAGAGCUGAACUCUCCAUUUUAUCUCUGUGGCCACAUUCAGAGUCACUUUGCUCUCAGACAAUACGUUUCUUUCUCUACAUUGCAUGCAAAAAGGUCCCAGUUCCUCGAAUGCCUCUGAAACAUUUCCCUGCAUAAAAUGGAGCCCAGACCUGUUUCAGGAUGGCCAGCGCUGCCCGGGGAGAUGCAGUCCCACAGCUCCUGGAAGGAAGGAGAAUGACGGGGCUGAGUCGUCAUGCAUUAUGCUGAAUAUUUACCCCUCAUGCAUGCUAUUUUAUUUUAAAUCUAGCGUGUAAUAUGCUUUGCAUCUAGCGUGUUGCUCUUGUGUGUUUUUCCCUUGCCCUGCCUGUCUCUUGCUGGCAGCUGCCAUCGUGAAACAAAAGGCAGCUGCCAGUUUGAGUGAACAUCUCUCUUUCUCACUCACUUUUUUUGCCUCUUGCUCUCAGAGCUGAUGCAAAACCACUUCACAGACUGGGUGGCAGGCACUGAUGCAAGGGGGGUUUGCUGCCCUUGGGAUGCUUGAGCAUGCAGUGCCUCUGAGACUCGCUGCCAGAGCCCAGAGCUGUGUUCAAGCUCUUGAACCUGGCUCAGCAGUAGCCAGGAGACAAGCAGCUGUCUCUCUGCCAGCACACCAGCUCGAGCUAUCUCCAUUGCAGCAAUUGCCCAUUUCACAGGAUUUGAUUAUGCUGCUUUUGGCAAAGGUGAUGGUUUAUUAAAUACCACUUUGGUCUUCUGCUCCAAGAUGUGUAAUCAAAGGCAGGGAUCUCUUGCUCCAAACCAAUGGUGUUCCUACAUCAUCUGAAAAAAGUCUGAAACAAGCAGGAUUGAACUGAAACAGCACUUGGAAGAAUAAAUUUUCCUAUGUCAAAUUAAAGUAACAUGGGGAGAAAGCAGGAUGAGAUGCCAGGACCCAGACCCUGAGGCCAGCUGUGGGCCUUGGAUGGUGCAGUCCUUUGGCCAGUGAUUCUGUGCAGAGUGAGAAGCUGCUGUGUGUGAGAGCCUCCAAAACUCAACCAGGGUCUUUAUUUCUUGGCUCCUCCUCUGACUCUAUAACUCCAUGUUCUAGGAGACUCUGGAGACCAUCAGAGGGGCCAGUUCAGCUGUUUUUUCCAGAGCUGGAAAGAGAUAUUUUUGCUUUUCUUAAGAGCCUUUCCCCUGAGCUAUAAUGAAAACAUGCUUUGGGAAAACAAGCUGAACUCUUGACUGCUGUAAAUAGCCAUGGGCUGGGUCACGCCUCUGGGAAGGGACUGUGUCCUGCUGGGAGAGGAGCAGGGAUGAACUGAGUUUGCUGGAGCUGUGGUCACUGCCACCAGCUCUGUAUUUUAUCUCUCUGGGCAUGGUGAGGGGUCUGGGGAAGAGGGUGAGGCACAACAGGCAGGGAGGUUGUAGGAAAUCAAGCAGGAUUCCAAAUGAUAGGGUAAAAUGAAAAAGCUGAAUAAAUGCAAGCCUCAGUUCCAAUCAGGAAAGUUAGGAAAUGAGAUCUGAAACACCCUCCUGGGAGUCUCGUGUGUGCUGAAGAAGCAUACUGAAAUAAAUCCUCAUGCAAGCUGUAUCACUCUGAUUGUCAGAGAAACUGAGCCCUCGCUCCUUUCCUUUGUGACAGUUUUCUUUCAGACAGCUCCUGGGUUUUUUUUGUUGUGUGGCUUUUUCUUUUUGCCUUUUUUUCUUUUUUCUUUCUUUUUUUUUUUUUUUUUUUUUUUAAUAAUAGGAAUGGGUAUUCUCAUGUCACUCAUUGUAAGCUUCUUUGUGGAAAUUAUGGCAAUAUGGACUUGUUCAUAGGGACAGUUUGGAGAGAUCCUGGUUUGUCUGAUUUCCUGACAUUGUUUUCCUAAAGCACAGAAUAAAGACAGGAAAAGAAACUGCAGAGGACAGGUCUGGAGCUCCCUGAGGAGCUGUCAGGGCAGGUGAGAAAUCACAAGUGCAGGUGAGAAGGUUGUGAUUUUUGUAAAUGAACAGUAAGCUAUACUUCCCAAAUGAAGAUGAUUUCCUCUAGAUUAAGCAGGAUUGCAAAUAAACAAAGAAUAAAAAUUUAUGUCCAUGAGCAAAA